This 123-nucleotide non-coding RNA is filed under the name Moraxella lacunata. RNAcentral's name for it is "Glycine sequence". It matches the Rfam family "Glycine riboswitch aptamer". Rfam says of the family: This family represents the bacterial glycine riboswitch. Glycine riboswitches usually consist of two metabolite-binding aptamers domains with similar structures in tandem. Lineage: Bacteria; Pseudomonadati; Pseudomonadota; Gammaproteobacteria; Moraxellales; Moraxellaceae. The record is from RNAcentral.
AUUAACCACUCUGGAGAGCGUGCUUGCACCACCGAAGGGAAGAAGCAGGUGAUUUGGUUUUUGGGUUUGGCGACUUACAAAUCACUUAGCGAAAAUCUCAGGUAACAGGACAGAUGGGGUGUU